AGAAGACAAACUCACACAAGUAAAGCUAGAGAAUUUAUAUGCCAAUAUGACAAACUUAGAAUUUUUUAUAGGAAUACCAAAGAAAUGGUGAUCAGAAGAGGCUUGGGUAAAUUAAUGAGAAAUUUGUAUCAUUCCAUAUCUGGUAAAUAAUUUAGUAUUUGGAAACCUCAACAUUCCAGGAUGGAAUUCAAUUUGGGAUUAGUUACUGGAAAUCGUGGCAUGUAUAGUGGGUUCUAAAACAAAUCAUGCAAAUGUAGAAGUAAAACAGGGAUCUAAACUGUAAAAUCCAUGACCUUCAUGACUGUUUUUUUCCAGAUUUAGCCCUUGUAGAAUUUUGCCCCCCUUUUUUUUUUUGCCUACAGUUUUCUCUAGUUAUGUUUAGCUCCUACCACUUGUUAAUAAAAUCUUUAUAGUUGUGCACUGUGUAAGAUGCUCUUGUUGAGUUGGAAAGGUUUAGAAACUGUAUCCCCUAUGAAUGAAUGUUAAUUGGAUCAGAAUCUUGCCUGUAACACAGCAGUGUUGCUUAUUCAAGCAAUGGAUUAGGCUGGUCAAGAGCCCCAGUCCUACAACCGACACUGCUCUAGAGACUGGCUUCAGCGCAAGGUACUUCUCUGUGGCUUCUACUAAACGUUGGUUUUGCGAACAAUGACAACAAUAACAUGCUAAUCAAUUUCACAAGAUCUGCAUUCUAAAUAAGUUCCAGUAAGAAAAUUAAGAUGCUGAGUUACUUAUUUAAGGAUUAGUUGUUCAUUCUCUUUGAAUCCAAAACUCUCAAAGAAAAUGGAAACUUCCUUGAAAAAAAGUUGAAUUUAAAAGGCAUUGAAAUCAUAAAGGAGACUGCUGAGUCUGUCUGAGAUAGAAGUAGUGGCCAAAAAGUUUUGUUGGAUAUAAGAUCCCACUGCAGCUCUGAAAUUAGUACAAGGCUAUUUGCAUACAGAGUGUAUGUACUUUAAGAAGCAGUAGUAGAACAUUCUGGUAUGCUUUGUUUGAAAAAAAAAAAAGAAAAAAAGCCCUCAAUGAAGCCUCUUUCAGACAUGUGUCAGGGACACUUUGUUGCUGAACUCUCUCAUAUUAACAAACCAAGCUGCUCUUCCUUUCAUUCCUUUGGCCACAGGACAGACGAAAUUCACCAAAGUCUCUACCACAGGCAUUCUCAGAUGGUGCUAAUAAAAAGAAGAAACCCAAACCAGAAUUGGCGGUCUACAUUGUAAGAGUUGCUAAAUAUCAUCACAAAGCAAUAAUUAUCCUGCAGCUUGGUG
Molecule: long non-coding RNA, 1259 nt
Filed under: Equus caballus (horse)
Lineage: Eukaryota; Metazoa; Chordata; Mammalia; Perissodactyla; Equidae
Description: lncRNA (ENSECAG00000049517.1)
Source: RNAcentral